ACUCCUACGGGAGGCAGCAGUGGGGAAUAUUGCACAAUGGGCGCAAGCCUGAUGCAGCCAUGCCGCGUGUGUGAAGAAGGCCUUCGGGUUGUAAAGCACUUUCAGUCGUGAGGAAGGCGGGUACGGUUAAUAGCGUAUUCGUUUGACGUUAGCGACAGAAGAAGCACCGGCUAACUCCGUGCCAGCAGCCGCGGUAAUACGGAGGGUGCGAGCGUUAAUCGGAAUUACUGGGCGUAAAGCGCAUGCAGGUGGUUUGUUAAGUUCAGAUGUGAAAGCCGGGGGCUCAACCUCGGAAUAGCAUUUGAAACUGGCAGACUAGAGUACUGUAGAGGGGGUAGAAUUUCAGGUGUAGCGGUGAAAUGCGUAGAGAUCUGAAGGAAUACCGGUGGCGAAGGCGGCCCCCUGGACAGAUACUGACACUCAGAUGCGAAAGCGUGGGGAGCAAACAGGAUUAGAUACCCUGGUAGGACAGUG
Molecule: ribosomal RNA, 474 nt
Filed under: uncultured bacterium
Lineage: Bacteria
Description: bacterial SSU rRNA
Rfam family: Bacterial small subunit ribosomal RNA
Source: RNAcentral